Symphalangus syndactylus (siamang) is the source of this 218-nucleotide long non-coding RNA. RefSeq lists it as uncharacterized. NCBI's taxonomy places the organism in Eukaryota, Metazoa, Chordata, Mammalia, Primates, Hylobatidae. The record is from RefSeq and is a predicted model, not a curated record.
AAGUGUUCAUCUUUUUGCUUUUGCAAAAACUCUGUGCCAGCUAUGAGUAUCUCAUUGUCCAUUGAAGAACUGCUACUCAUGGCCUGCAAGAGUGAAACUCAUUGGUUCUAUGAAUGAAUGAAAUUGGACCUGCUGGAGGCCUUUAAUUAUUAUGUGGGCCUCAGAAAUGAUGAGGAUUGAUGUGGGUGUUAUUUCAAUAAAGUGUUAUAAACAAUUCA